RNAcentral lists this long non-coding RNA (288 nucleotides) under Musa acuminata (dwarf banana). Its description in RNAcentral is "long non-coding RNA (MACU_LNC005642)". The record is from RNAcentral. Lineage: Eukaryota; Viridiplantae; Streptophyta; Magnoliopsida; Zingiberales; Musaceae.
GUUACAAUAUCCCCAACUCAAUUAGCUUGACGUCCUCGUCAAGGCCCAACAUAUCCCAGAUCGAACCCUAGCAUAGUGCAUGUGAGGUUUAACUCGGUUGCUCCACGCCGUGAUGAGUUCUCAACUCCAUCCACGGGUAGCCCUUUCCUACUCGAGCCCUCUCACCCUGCCCAAAUGCUAGGUCGACUCUGAUACCAAAUGUUACGACCCGAGUCUAAUGAGCCAACUGGCCAAUAACUCCAUUUUGGUCCUUGAACCACGAACCAAAAUGCUUAAGCGGGAGUUAAC